This 68-nucleotide transfer RNA is filed under the name Tetrancistrum nebulosi. RNAcentral describes it as "tRNA-Ile". Lineage: Eukaryota; Metazoa; Platyhelminthes; Monogenea; Dactylogyridea; Ancyrocephalidae. The record is from RNAcentral.
GCCGGUAGGGCUGCAAUGGCAGGGCAUUUUGAUAUAGUGUUAUUUAAAGUAUACUGCUUUCGCCGGUA